GAAAUAUUAAAAUUUUCCAUAUAUUAGAAAUAUUAAUAAGUUUAGUAUUUUGUUUGUCAUGAUAGUGAUACAGAAUUUAAGAGAUACACAUAAAUUGCUUUCUAAUAGUAUGUAAUGUACUUAAAUCAUUCUGCAUCUUCUUAUAUUAAUCAUUGAUGGGUGAAAAUAUAAAGAAUUUUAGAUUUUUCUUAUUUAUAUCUGAUCAAUCAUGGAUUCAAAAUUUAAAUAUAUCAGACUUAUGUAUUUAAUAAGUGU
This 255-nucleotide unclassified non-coding RNA is filed under the name Hevea brasiliensis (rubber tree). Lineage: Eukaryota; Viridiplantae; Streptophyta; Magnoliopsida; Malpighiales; Euphorbiaceae. The record is from RNAcentral.